Molecule: long non-coding RNA, 243 nt
Filed under: Lathyrus oleraceus (garden pea)
Lineage: Eukaryota; Viridiplantae; Streptophyta; Magnoliopsida; Fabales; Fabaceae
Description: Pisum sativum (pea) long non-coding RNA (PSAT_LNC003930)
Source: RNAcentral
UGCUGUUGUUGCUAUCUUGAUUAUGAUGCAUGUUUGGUGUGCAGCAUUCAUGAAAGGCCGAUGCCUAGUGAUGAACGAACUGAGUUCCAAUGAUGUUGUUGACUCCGGGCUUGUUGAGAGGAUGGUUCCUUGUGGGGAACUCGGAUUCUAUGGUGAUGAAUCUGGGAGUGGUGAUCCUGUAGUUGGUACAAAAUGGGUAUACCGAGUCGUGUUGAGUCAUGCAUGGGUGUGUGCAUUGCAUUU